RNAcentral lists this ribosomal RNA (402 nucleotides) under uncultured bacterium. RNAcentral describes it as "bacterial SSU rRNA". It matches the Rfam family "Bacterial small subunit ribosomal RNA", at positions 355 to 774 of the family's 1533-position model. The record is from RNAcentral.
UGGGGAAUAUUGCACAAUGGGGGAAACCCUGAUGCAGCGACGCCGCGUGAGCGAAGAAGUAUCUCGGUAUGUAAAGCUCUAUCAGCAGGGAAGAAAAUGACGGUACCUGACUAAGAAGCACCGGCUAAAUACGUGCCAGCAGCCGCGGUAAUACGUAUGGUGCAAGCGUUAUCCGGAUUUACUGGGUGUAAAGGGAGCGUAGACGGAGAAGCAAGUCUGGAGUGAAAGCCCGGGGCUCAACCCCGGGACUGCUUUGGAAACUGUUUGUCUAGAGUGCCGGAGAGGUAAGCGGAAUUCCUAGUGUAGCGGUGAAAUGCGUAGAUAUUAGGAGGAACACCAGUGGCGAAGGCGGCUUACUGGACGGUAACUGACGUUGAGGCUCGAAAGCGUGGGGAGCAAACA